Ostrea edulis (European flat oyster) is the source of this 1680-nucleotide long non-coding RNA. RefSeq lists it as uncharacterized. The record is from RefSeq and is a predicted model, not a curated record. The transcript has 4 exons. Lineage: Eukaryota; Metazoa; Mollusca; Bivalvia; Ostreida; Ostreidae.
GGUUUUCUUAAAAAUUAGCGACAAAUCGACGUCGCUAACAGCAAUCGACGCGCGUCGCACAAUAAAGUGGUGAAAACUAUUUGUAUUGUCCUUUUUUUUUUUUUUAGUAAAUUCAGUACCUGUUGAUACACUAAAACAACAUACAUACAUGUAUGAAAUAAUCAGCCUGGUAUCUCUGCUUUUUUUUUUAAAAAAAAGAAGAAGCAUAAAACCAAUAUUGGUUUAUAACAGUUACACAACCUACAUGUAACUUCAUAAAUGCUACAUCGGCAGAUUGAAUUUAAAAAAGAUUAAUAAAGUACUUCAAAUUCAAAUAUAAACGUUAUAUUUGUUCGGAAUAGUAAUAAUUUUUUUCUCUGCCAAAGAAAGAAAACAAAAAAGAAGUUCGCCUUUAUAUAGCCUGUAUACUUUUAUUUUUCCGUGAUCCGGAUCGCGGGCCUCGCGGGGUUUUCUGAAAGUGUGCACGGAGAACACACGUGUUUCCGUUUCAACGAAAACAAACAAACACAGCUUCACCGUGACUGUCACAGCGAACGCUUGUAUUUUACAUCUUUAAAACGAUCUGAUGUCAGAAGAAGAAGAUGCCCUGGAUCCCCUGUUGCAGGAUGACCCAAACGAUCAUGCAUUCAGUAUAAAUACGUACAUGGUAUUGACAUCCCAAUAUUUAGUGGGAAGUUUCCAGGUAUCAUCCGCUAGCGACAGUCUACUGACAAAUCCAGACAUGCAUUGGAAGGAUGCUGAUGUGGAGGACACAGGAACACCUGAUCCCAGAACUGUGGCAUUUCAUUCGGGGUGACAACCUGGCUUUCAGUUGAUAUGGGACUCUAUUAUUCGGAAAACUGCAGAUUUUAUGAAGCUGUCUUUGACAGAAGAUUUGGUUUUCUCCAUCUGUGUUGCCACCAACCAUUAUGCUGAGAUAGUCAAAACUAGGGGGAAGGGUUGCCAUAUACUUCCCAAGGAAGUUUGCAGCCUCUCACUGAAGAGGAACUGUACAGAUUUUUGUGCAUUAUCUUACACACGCCUGCUGUGAAGUUCCAGUCGAUAGACAGAUAUUGGUCAACACAUGCCCCUGUCGGAACAACUCGUUAUCAAGAAUUAUGUCUAGAAAUAGGUUUCAAGAGGUUGAAUAUAAGAACAUUUUUGUUAAAUAUGAUGCAAGUACAUUUAAAUCUAGUGAUUGAAAGUAAGUACUUGAACAUUCGUUUAUGUUGAACUUGGAGAGGAAAAAUGGUUAGUACUUUUUGAUAACAUUUGAUAAGGUGUUGUUGCUUAGCAACCAAAUAUAAUUGAAUAAAAAUAGAUUAUUUUAGAUUAACAAUAAUUGAAAGAUCUUUGUUUUAAUGUUGCAAUACUUAUUAUAUUUAAUGGAACAUAAUGGCAAAACGUCAUAUUAUUAGAAAAUGAUGGACAAGUAUAUAAAGUACGAAGUUUCCAUUUGAUGACCUUUGAUCUUAAUUCUCUUGAUUAUAUUUUUUGUUAAAAACCUUUUAAAAUGAUUAAGAUCUAUUUAAAGAUUAUAUUUUUAAAAUAAUGUGACAUUUACUAAUCAUCAUGGAUUGUAAUUACGUUUAAAUUGUGUCGAAUGGAUGCAGAAAGGCAAAUUAUGGUCAAAAUUGUACUAUGAGUGUUGUUACUUAGCAACCAAAAAUAUUUGUUUGUCAAUAAAAUUGAUUAGUUUGA